This 212-nucleotide long non-coding RNA is filed under the name Canis lupus dingo (dingo). RNAcentral describes it as "Six3os1 conserved region 2 (ENSCAFG00020026255.1)". It matches the Rfam family "Six3os1 conserved region 2". The record is from RNAcentral. Lineage: Eukaryota; Metazoa; Chordata; Mammalia; Carnivora; Canidae.
GUGAGGGGCUGGGCGAAAGGAGGGAGGGAGGAUGGGGAACGCGCGCCCCAAGAGCGAAGGCAAACAGCUGUGGAGGCGCUGCCCAGGGCUCAGGCUUCCCAACAGGUUAGCUAGACGGGGAUCCACCCGGCAUUUCGCAGGAAAGGGGGGGGGGAGACUGAGCGACAGGGGGAGAGAGCCUCAGAAGAGGACAGAGGGAGGGAGGGAGAGAG